Molecule: ribosomal RNA, 482 nt
Filed under: uncultured bacterium
Lineage: Bacteria
Description: partial 16S ribosomal RNA
Rfam family: Bacterial small subunit ribosomal RNA
Source: RNAcentral
AUUGAACGCUGGCGGCAUGCCUUACACAUGCAAGUCGAACGGUAACGGGCCUUCGGGUGCCGACGAGUGGCGUACGGGUGAGUAAUACAUCGGAACGUGCCCGACCGUGGGGGAUAACUAGGCGAAAGCUUUGCUAAUACCGCUUACGAUCUACGGCUGAAAUCCGGGGACCGCAAGUCCUUGCGCGUACGGAGUGGCCGAUGGCAGAUUAGGUAGUUGGUGGGAUAAAAGCUUACCAAGCCGACGAUCUGUAGCUGGUCUGAGAGGAUGAUCAGCCACACUGGGACUGAGACACGGCCCAGACUCCUACGGGAGGCAGCAGUGGGGAAUUUUGGACAAUGGGCGCAAGCCUGAUCCAGCAAUGCCGCGUGCAGGAUGAAGGCCUUCGGGUUGUAAACUGCUUUUGUACGGAACGAAAAGCCUUCUUUUAAUACAGGAGGGACAUGACGGUACCGUAAGAAUAAGCACCGGCUAACUACGUG